RNAcentral lists this ribosomal RNA (467 nucleotides) under uncultured bacterium. RNAcentral's name for it is "partial 16S ribosomal RNA". It matches the Rfam family "Bacterial small subunit ribosomal RNA", at positions 28 to 506 of the family's 1533-position model. The record is from RNAcentral.
GACGAGCGCUGGCGGCGUGCUUAACACAUGCAAGUCGAACGGAAAGGCCCUGCUUUUGUGGGGUGCUCGAGUGGCGAACGGGUGAGUAACACGUGAGUAACCUGCCCUUGACUUUGGGAUAACUUCAGGAAACUGGGGCUAAUACCGGAUAGGAGCUCCUGCUGCAUGGUGGGGGUUGGAAAGUUUCGGCGGUUGGGGAUGGACUCGCGGCUUAUCAGCUUGUUGGUGGGGUAGUGGCUUACCAAGGCUUUGACGGGUAGCCGGCCUGAGAGGGUGACCGGCCACAUUGGGACUGAGAUACGGCCCAGACUCCUACGGGAGGCAGCAGUGGGGAAUAUUGCACAAUGGGCGGAAGCCUGAUGCAGCAACGCCGCGUGCGGGAUGACGGCCUUCGGGUUGUAAACCGCUUUCGCCUGUGACGAAGCGUGAGUGACGGGAAUGGGGAAAGAAGCACCGGCUAACUACGU